UGGGGAAUAUUGGACAAUGGGCGCAAGCCUGAUCCAGCAAUGCCGCGUGGGUGAAGAAGGUCUUCGGAUUGUAAAGCCCUUUCGGCGGGGACGAUGAUGACGGUACCCGCAGAAGAAGCCCCCGGCUAACUUCGUGCCAGCAGCCGCGGUAAUACGAAGGGGGCUAGCGUUGCUCGGAAUCACUGGGCGUAAAGGGCGCGUAGGCGGCUCUGUUAGUCAGGCGUGAAAUUCCUGGGCUCAACCUGGGGACUGCGCUUGAUACGGCGGGGCUUGAGGAUGGAAGAGGCUCGUGGAAUUCCCAGUGUAGAGGUGAAAUUCGUAGAUAUUGGGAAGAACACCGGUGGCGAAGGCGGCGAGCUGGUCCAUUACUGACGCUGAGGCGCGACAGCGUGGGGAGCAAAACAGGAUUAGAUACCCUGGUAGUCCACGCCGGUAAACGAUGUGCGCUGGAUGUUGGGUGGCCUAGCCACUCAGUGUCGUAGCCAACGCGGUAAGCGCACCGCCUGGGGAGUACGGCCGC
Molecule: ribosomal RNA, 520 nt
Filed under: uncultured bacterium
Lineage: Bacteria
Description: partial 16S ribosomal RNA
Rfam family: Bacterial small subunit ribosomal RNA
Source: RNAcentral